RNAcentral lists this unclassified non-coding RNA (452 nucleotides) under Glyceria declinata. RNAcentral's name for it is "partial external transcribed spacer". The record is from RNAcentral. Lineage: Eukaryota; Viridiplantae; Streptophyta; Magnoliopsida; Poales; Poaceae.
GCAUGAGUUGUCUUGGACCAGUGUCUUGCAACAUGGACCCCCGCCAUUGUGCUGGCUGACUGUUUGCGACUGUGUCCCAUCAAAAUAUUGUGGUUAAACCUUUGGCCCCAUCGCAAGUGCUUGCAUGCUUAUACCCUACCGAAGGGAAGUGGUGCUUCAUACAUUGUUUCUUUGCGGAAGACACCCCUUGGGUGCUCUGUCGUGGCCCAAAAGUGCUUGUUGCGUUGCYUCGUCGUGCCGUCACAUUAAGUGCUCGGUGCUGCCAAGGCCACCUGGCUCGCACUAUUGGUCUAGGAUGUUGCUAACAGGAAAGGUUCAUGAUCCAUUGGCAUCGGUCCCUAUCGAAAAGCUCGCUCAACUAAAGACAGCUGACUCGGUUAGUUUAUGUUACCAUGUCACGUGGUGGCUGGCAACUAUGGCUUCCGAUGUUAGCUCGUCAACGAGGACGUGCU